RNAcentral lists this ribosomal RNA (657 nucleotides) under uncultured bacterium. RNAcentral describes it as "bacterial SSU rRNA". It matches the Rfam family "Bacterial small subunit ribosomal RNA", at positions 59 to 717 of the family's 1533-position model. The record is from RNAcentral.
CAGUCGAACGGGAAUUACUUUAUUGAAACUUCGGUCGAUUUAAUUUAAUUCUAGUGGCGGACGGGUGAGUAACGCGUGGGUAACCUGCCUUAUACAGGGGGAUAACAGUCAGAAAUGGCUGCUAAUACCGCAUAAGCGCACAGAGCUGCAUGGCUCGGUGUGAAAAACUCCGGUGGUAUAAGAUGGACCCGCGUUGGAUUAGCUUGUUGGUGGGGUAACGGCCCACCAAGGCGACGAUCCAUAGCCGGCCUGAGAGGGUGAACGGCCACAUUGGGACUGAGACACGGCCCAGACUCCUACGGGAGGCAGCAGUGGGGAAUAUUGCACAAUGGGGGAAACCCUGAUGCAGCGACGCCGCGUGAAGGAAGAAGUAUCUCGGUAUGUAAACUUCUAUCAGCAGGGAAGAUAAUGACGGUACUCAACAAGGAAGUGACGGCUAACUACGUGCCAGCAGCCGCGGUAAAACGUAGGUCACAAGCGCUGUCCGGAAUUACUGGGUGUAAAGGGAGCGCAGGCGGGAGAACAGGUUGGAAGUGAAAUCCAUGGGCUCAACCCAUGAACUGCUUUCAAAACUGUUUUUCUUGAGUAGUGCAGAGGUAGGCGGAAUUCCCGGUGUAGCGGUGGAAUGCGUAGAUAUCGGGAGGAACACCAGUGGCG